This 306-nucleotide long non-coding RNA is filed under the name Elaeis guineensis (African oil palm). RNAcentral describes it as "long non-coding RNA (EGUI_LNC036761)". The record is from RNAcentral. Lineage: Eukaryota; Viridiplantae; Streptophyta; Magnoliopsida; Arecales; Arecaceae.
GGGGCGACCUGGGCUAAACGCACUCCGAGCAAUCAUCUCAACGUAUCAUUUGCUCAUGCACUUUUUGAUGAGAAAAAAAAUUGGUGAGAUGAGAAGAGAUCCGUAGCUAGCCCAAUAAUGCUACUUAACCAUCGUCAAAGAAAAGAAGCUGGCUGAAGCUCUUUCCAUCGAUGACAGACUGGACCAAAGAGAGGAAGAAAGUCGAGGAGAACCCACAGAGCGACUCACCUCGAUGCCCCUCAACAAGGAGGAUCCGAUCAGAACUGCUCUGGUCAGAUCUUCCUUAAGCGACGAACUAAGAGAGGA